CAUAUUCCGUAUUACUAUCAAAUACUUUUAAGUUAAGAAUACAAACAAAAUUCUCUAAAAUAGUUGUCGUACCUAUAUUCUUUAAAUAAAGGAAUCCUUAAACCUUAUAAAAAUGCAAAAUUUUAACUGUAGCUUAUGAAUAGUUCCUGCUGGUGUUAUUACAGAGGUGCCCUUGAAUUCAAGGAACUGACAGCUGAUUCCAAUGACAGCUGUUGUUGUUGCUUUUCCUUACCAGAGUUGGUUCUGACUUGCUUUUGUGUUGAUUUAGCCUUUGCUUUGGUUUGUAUCGCUCUUGUUUUGGGAGUUUGCGGUUGGGAUGCUCAGGUGCGGGAGUAGGCUGCUUUCGUCCGGCUGCCUGUGCAGGAAUGGCUGGCUUGCUGAUUGCAUUGCUUGUGGGUCUGCUGUUGCAGAGUUGCUUGUUCUGUUGGGGUUAGGAGAUCUGUGAAGCACUUUUUAAGGACACUGCUGAGAAAGAAGGUUCAGAGAGCAAAGAAUAAUCCAGAAGCAACAAGGCAAUUCCCGAAUGAAGGCUACCUAGAAUAUAUAUAUGCAGUUAUCAUCUUUUGCUAUUAAGGUAUUAGUGGGAAUCAGGAACUAUGAUGUGAAAGUUUAUUAAAUUUGAAGUAGCUUGUGCAUGUUUAAAAGGAACAUUUUGGACAUCUUGUGUUCCCUAUAAACAUCAACUAUGUAUAUAGUACUAAGGAUAUGUAGGUACUACUGAUGUUUAGUAGCAGCACUGUCUUAGACACUUCCUCUUAGCAGAACUGUAGUAUUUUGCUUGUACAUAGUAAUGCUAGCAGUCAGAAAUUGAAAGAACCAUCAGGUCACUAUGAUGUAUCUAUUUGCAUCCUUAAAUCAGGAUGCCUAUAUAUAUAAUAUGAAUUAAGUUGUUAUAA
This is a long non-coding RNA of Chenopodium quinoa (quinoa), 896 nucleotides long. RefSeq lists it as uncharacterized. The record is from RefSeq and is a predicted model, not a curated record. NCBI's taxonomy places the organism in Eukaryota, Viridiplantae, Streptophyta, Magnoliopsida, Caryophyllales, Amaranthaceae. The transcript is spliced from 3 exons.